GUGGGUACAGCUCAGUGGUAGAGCCCAUGCUUAGCACACACAAGUUCCUGGGUUCAAUCCCCAGUACCUCCA
Molecule: transfer RNA, 72 nt
Filed under: Camelus bactrianus (Bactrian camel)
Lineage: Eukaryota; Metazoa; Chordata; Mammalia; Artiodactyla; Camelidae
Also listed under: 2 other names
Rfam family: tRNA
About the family: Transfer RNA (tRNA) molecules are approximately 80 nucleotides in length. Their secondary structure includes four short double-helical elements and three loops (D, anti-codon, and T loops).
Source: Rfam by way of RNAcentral